AUGCAUGCGCCCAUAGCGAAAACUUUCAGGCAUGUUAAAACAGCGGCGAUUAGCUUUUAAUGCAAUCGUCUCUACCUGUAGCAUGGCACA
Molecule: small nucleolar RNA, 90 nt
Filed under: Drosophila virilis
Lineage: Eukaryota; Metazoa; Arthropoda; Insecta; Diptera; Drosophilidae
Description: snoRNA:GJ25414
Source: RNAcentral